Molecule: ribosomal RNA, 407 nt
Filed under: Haemophilus influenzae
Lineage: Bacteria; Pseudomonadati; Pseudomonadota; Gammaproteobacteria; Pasteurellales; Pasteurellaceae
Description: bacterial LSU rRNA
Rfam family: Bacterial large subunit ribosomal RNA
Source: RNAcentral
UCGGCUCAUCACAUCCUGGGGCUGAAGUAGGUCCCAAGGGUAUGGCUGUUCGCCAUUUAAAGUGGUACGCGAGCUGGGUUUAGAACGUCGUGAGACAGUUCGGUCCCUAUCUGCCGUGGGCGUAGGAUGAUUGAUUGGGGCUGCUCCUAGUACGAGAGGACCGGAGUGGACGCAUCACUGGUGUUCCGGUUGUGUCGCCAGACGCAUUGCUGGGUAGCUAAAUGCGGAAGAGAUAAGUGCUGAAAGCAUCUAAGCACGAAACUUGCCAAGAGAUGAGUCAUCCCUGACUUUAAGUCAGUAAGGGUUGUUGUAGACUACGACGUAGAUAGGUCAGGUGUGUAAGUGUAGUGAUACAUUGAGCUAACAGAUACUAAUUGCCCGAGAGGCUUAACUAUACAACGCUCAAG